Molecule: transfer RNA, 74 nt
Filed under: Nanobdellota archaeon
Lineage: Archaea; Nanobdellati; Nanobdellota
Description: tRNA-Arg
Rfam family: tRNA
About the family: Transfer RNA (tRNA) molecules are approximately 80 nucleotides in length. Their secondary structure includes four short double-helical elements and three loops (D, anti-codon, and T loops).
Source: RNAcentral
GGGCCUGUAGUUUAGUAUGGAGAGAAUGCAAGGCUUCGGACCUUGAGACCGGGGUUCAAAUCCUCGCAGGCCCA